This 289-nucleotide small nuclear RNA is filed under the name Oryctolagus cuniculus (rabbit). Its description in RNAcentral is "7SK RNA". It matches the Rfam family "7SK RNA", at positions 11 to 306 of the family's 331-position model. Rfam says of the family: 7SK was discovered as an abundant small nuclear RNA in the mid-70s but a possible function has only recently been suggested. Two independent studies have found that 7SK RNA binds the CDK9/cyclin T complex (known as elongation factor P-TEFb). The record is from Rfam by way of RNAcentral. Lineage: Eukaryota; Metazoa; Chordata; Mammalia; Lagomorpha; Leporidae.
GGGACUGGCUGCGACAUCUGUCACCCCAUUGAUCGCCAGGGUUGAUUCGGCUGAUCUGGCUGGCUAGGCGGGUGUCCCCUUCCUCCCUCACCGCUCCAUGUGCGUCCCUCCCGAAGCUGCGCGCUCGGUCGAAGAGGACGACCAUCCCCGCUAGAGGAGGACCGGUCUUCGGUCAAGGGUAUACGAGUAGCUGCGCUCCCCUGCUAGAACCUCCAAACAAGCUCUCAGGUUGAUAUUUUAAAAACAAUUCAGAUUGUGUCAUUCUCUUGUGUAAAUCAACCAAUGGCUU